UUUUUUUUAGUUUAUUAUAAAAAACAUUUACAUUUCAAGUAAAAAAAAACAUUUUGUUAAAUAUUA
Molecule: transfer RNA, 66 nt
Filed under: Clavelina oblonga
Lineage: Eukaryota; Metazoa; Chordata; Ascidiacea; Aplousobranchia; Clavelinidae
Description: transfer RNA-Glu
Source: RNAcentral